ACUCAAAUGAAUAGACGGGGGCCCGCACAAGCGGUGGAGCAUGUGGUUUAAUUCGACGCAACGCGAAGAACCUUACCUGGGCUCGAACGGCUUCGGACCGCCGAUAGAAAUAUUGGCUUUCCCGCAAGGGACUGGAGUCGAGGUGCUGCAUGGCUGUCGUCAGCUCGUGUCGUGAGAUGUUGGGUUAAGUCCCGCAACGAGCGCAACCCUUGUCCUGUGUUGCAACUAAUAGGCACUCUCAGGAGACCGCCAGCGAUAAGCUGGAGGAAGGUGGGGAUGACGUCAAGUCAUCAUGGCCUUUAUGUCCAGGGCUACACACGUGCUACAAUGGACGGUACAAACCGCUGCCAACUCGCGAGAGGGAGCUAAUCGGAAAAAACCGUUCUCAGUUCGGAUUGCAGGCUGCAACCCGCCUGCAUGAAGCUGGAAUCGCUAGUAAUGGUAUAUCAGAACGAUACCGUGAAUACGUUCCCGGGCCUUGUACACACCGCCCGU
This 495-nucleotide ribosomal RNA is filed under the name uncultured bacterium. RNAcentral's name for it is "partial 16S ribosomal RNA". It matches the Rfam family "Bacterial small subunit ribosomal RNA", at positions 899 to 1397 of the family's 1533-position model. The record is from RNAcentral.